This 465-nucleotide ribosomal RNA is filed under the name Vreelandella stevensii. Its description in RNAcentral is "partial 16S ribosomal RNA". It matches the Rfam family "Bacterial small subunit ribosomal RNA", at positions 338 to 795 of the family's 1533-position model. The record is from RNAcentral. Lineage: Bacteria; Pseudomonadati; Pseudomonadota; Gammaproteobacteria; Oceanospirillales; Halomonadaceae.
CCUACGGGAGGCUGCAGUGGGGAAUAUUGGACAAUGGGGGGAACCCUGAUCCAGCCAUGCCGCGUGUGUGAAGAAGGCCCUCGGGUUGUAAAGCACUUUCAGUGAGGAAGAACGCCUGGUGGUUAAUACCCAUCAGGAAAGACAUCACUCACAGAAGAAGCACCGGCUAACUCCGUGCCAGCAGCCGCGGUAAUACGGAGGGUGCGAGCGUUAAUCGGAAUUACUGGGCGUAAAGCGCGCGUAGGUGGCUUGAUAGGCCGGUUGUGAAAGCCCCGGGCUCAACCUGGGAACGGCAUCCGGAACUGUCAAGCUAGAGUGCAGGAGAGGAAGGUAGAAUUCCCGGUGUAGCGGUGAAAUGCGUAGAGAUCGGGAGGAAUACCAGUGGCGAAGGCGGCCUUCUGGACUGACACUGACACUGAGGUGCGAAAGCGUGGGUAGCAAACAGGAUUAGAUACCCUAGUAGUC